Gallus gallus (chicken) is the source of this 659-nucleotide long non-coding RNA. The record is from Ensembl. Lineage: Eukaryota; Metazoa; Chordata; Aves; Galliformes; Phasianidae.
GUCAAGGCUGGAGGCCGCCUGGGGCAAAGGGAUCGUGAGAUGCUAGAUUUCUCAAUCCUUGUUGAACCACGGAGGGGAGUCAGCAGAACUGCCACCUUGGACUGCCGGAGAGCAAACUCGAACCUCUUUAGGACCAUGGUUGAGAGGGUCCCUUGGGAAGUACUUUUGGAGGGCGUGGGAGCCCAGGAAGGCUGGCAGUACUUUCCAGAAGUAAUUUUAAAGGUGCAGGAGCUGACCAUCCCCAGGUCAUGGAAGAUGAGCUGAUGGGCAAGGAGGCUGGACUGGCUGAACAGAGACCUUCCACUGGAACUCAAGAGCAAAAUGAAAGAUUAUGGUCUGUGGAAGAGUGGGCAAGCUACUUAUGAUGAUUACAGGAACUCCGCCACAGCAGCAUUUUCCAGUCCGUGGCACCUUGAUCCCAGGAUGUGCUCCGCACCGUGCUUCUAGGGCAUCAACAUCUGCUGCUGCACAAAGGCCCCUGAAAGGAAAAGCACCCUCGCACGUUUGCGCUGCUCCCACACUCCCCAGAACUGUCUCUCAAAUCUCACAUAACACAGACUCUCUCAGACUCUUGGCUGCAGCCCAAUAGCACAGCAUCCCCUCUCUCACUUCAUGAGCCAAGAGGCCAUAGUUUGUCAUCCCCUCUCUCACUUCAUGAG